GAUGAACGCUGGCGGCGUGCCUAAUACAUGCAAGUCGAGCGAACGGACGAGAAGCUUGCUUCUCUGAUGUUAGCGGCGGACGGGUGAGUAACACGUGGAUAACCUACCUAUAAGACUGGGAUAACUUCGGGAAACCGGAGCUAAUACCGGAUAAUAUUUUGAACCGCAUGGUUCAAAAGUGAAAGACGGUCUUGCUGUCACUUAUAGAUGGAUCCGCGCUGCAUUAGCUAGUUGGUAAGGUAACGGCUUACCAAGGCAACGAUGCAUAGCCGACCUGAGAGGGUGAUCGGCCACACUGGAACUGAGACACGGUCCAGACUCCUACGGGAGGCAGCAGUAGGGAAUCUUCCGCAAUGGGCGAAAGCCUGACGGAGCAACGCCGCGUGAGUGAUGAAGGUUUUCGGACCGUAAAACUCUGUUAUUAGGGAAGAACAUAUGUGUAAGUAACUGUGCACAUCUUGACGGUACCUAAUCAGAAAGCCACGGCUAACUACGUG
Molecule: ribosomal RNA, 497 nt
Filed under: uncultured bacterium
Lineage: Bacteria
Description: partial 16S ribosomal RNA
Rfam family: Bacterial small subunit ribosomal RNA
Source: RNAcentral